This 373-nucleotide ribosomal RNA is filed under the name uncultured organism. RNAcentral describes it as "partial 16S ribosomal RNA". It matches the Rfam family "Bacterial small subunit ribosomal RNA", at positions 527 to 896 of the family's 1533-position model. The record is from RNAcentral.
GUAGGUGGCAAGCGUUGUCCGGAAUUGUUGGGCGUAAAGCGCGCGCAGGCGGUCCUUUAAGUCUGAUGUGAAAGCCCACGGCUCAACCGUGGAGGGUCAUUGGAAACUGGGGGACUUGAGUACAGAAGAGGAAAGCGGAAUUCCAAGUGUAGCGGUGAAAUGCGUAGAGAUUUGGAGGAACACCAGUGGCGAAGGCGGCUUUCUGGUCUGUAACUGACGCUGAGGCGCGAAAGCGUGGGGAGCAAACAGGAUUAGAUACCCUGGUAGUCCACGCCGUAAACGAUGAGUGCUAAGUGUUAGGGGGUUUCCGCCCCCUUAGUGCUGCAGCUAACGCGUUAAGCACUCCGCCUGGGGGAGUACGGCCGCAAGGCUG